UGUAUAAGAGACAGCAGUAGCCGCGUAAUACAGAGGGUGCGAGCGUUAAUCGGAUUUACUGGGCGUAAAGCGUGCGUAGGCGGCUUCUUAAGUCGGAUGUGAAAUCCCUGAGCUUAACUUAGGAAUUGCAUUCGAUACUGGGAAGCUAGAGUAUGGGAGAGGAUGGUAGAAUUCCAGGUGUAGCGGUGAAAUGCGUAGAGAUCUGGAGGAAUACCGAUGGCGAAGGCAGCCAUCUGGCCUAAUACUGACGCUGAGGUACGAAAGCAUGGGGAGCAAACAGGAUUAGAUACCCCCGUAGUCCCUGUCUCUUAUACA
This 315-nucleotide ribosomal RNA is filed under the name uncultured bacterium. Its description in RNAcentral is "partial 16S ribosomal RNA". It matches the Rfam family "Bacterial small subunit ribosomal RNA", at positions 498 to 808 of the family's 1533-position model. The record is from RNAcentral.